Long non-coding RNA from Columba livia (rock pigeon), 5359 nucleotides. RefSeq lists it as uncharacterized. The transcript is spliced from 2 exons. The record is from RefSeq and is a predicted model, not a curated record. Lineage: Eukaryota; Metazoa; Chordata; Aves; Columbiformes; Columbidae.
ACACAGCCGAGGGGUCUCUGACACACACACACCCCUCACUCCUCACAGGGAUCAAUCGCGACCACACGUUUUGGCCGGUGCUUUUAUUUAUUUGGCCGACCCGCGGUAUGACCGGCCUUAAACGUUAUAUAUAGCAAAUGUCUUCCUAAAUCAACACAAUAGGAUAGCUCGCAGCCACCAGCUCGCUUCUCCUUCAAGGAACCUCCCCCCCCGCCCUUCCACAUCCUUUCUUCUUCUUCUUUUUUUUUUUUUUUUUUUUUUUUUUAACAACUGGGGAUAUUUUAUACCCUGUAGUUUUGGAUUUGAUCCAUUGCUUUAAGCUUGAUGGAGGGUUCUGCAGACAAGGAGAUGUAUAUACACUAUUAUACAGCCAUCAUUGAGAUUACUAACAGUGAGUCUCUUGUCAGCCUGACGGUCCUGCUUUGAAACACUACUCACAUUAUCCUGAUUUUUCAAAAUUGGGGGUAAGGGAAGGGAGGGGAGAUACAAUUUCCCACUGCCCCUUUUGUUAAUUGUUUUCUUUCCUCGGAAUUACAUUCACAACCCAAUCGGGCCCGUUUUCACGUAGUGUCUUUGUAUUUCUAGUGGAAGCCACGUGGGGGUGGGAGAAGAGAUCCUGACAUCCCUCCUCAGGCAUCCAUCCGAAUACCCUCCGCACACAAGCCCUUGCACACCAGUGACCACAAACAUGGGGCAACCUGCCCCCCACCCCCACUGCGGUCCCAAAAGUGUCAGGUCGAGGAGCCUCCGACGCCUCCCCACAGAUGGGUAAUAUCAUUUCAUUUUUUCAGGUGGCUGCACCUUGCACCGAGGAAUCCAGGGAAAAAUGUCCAGCGGGGAUGCCCUCAUUGAAAAAAGAGACGAGAGGGGAAAAACACCCCCAAACCUUUGUCAGACAAGCCUUGAGAGAAAGGGGGAAGGAGAGAGAGAGGGACAGGAGCUGUGAUAAGAGAGUCACCUUGGGCAUUGGUCGCCUUCCCCACCUCUGCAGUUCCAGCCUUAAUUCUCCAGCUAUUUUGCGCUGAAGGUGAUCAGAAGGGAGAAGGGGUAGGUGCUGAAGUAUUUAAGGAAGCAUUUAAACCCAGAGUCUUCAAUGAAUGAAGAAGGGGGUGGUGGGGGAGUGGGGGAGAAAAAAAAAGUUGGAAAAUGGAUUCGCUGACAAGUAAGGAUAAUAAAUGAGCGGCGCUUUCAGAUAGAUAUCUCAGACGUGAAAUUGCACCCAGCUGGUUGUGUAAGCAAACAAAUAGUUUCAUGUUAGGGACUCUCGACUUGUGGCUUGAUGAAUAGAACACGACAGAGGUAAAUGGCUCUUUAACUCAUUUAGGAAUAAAACUCUUUGGCUUCCUAAGUAAAAGACCUGGUGACGCCAUGGAUCCUGAGCAAGCACUUUAACAAGAGUUUUAUUAGUUUCCACUUGUGCUCUCGAAUCUCCACCCUAGCUUACCUCCUCCAUUACGCAUCUGGAUUUUUUUCCCCCUUUACCCUCUUUUUGCUUUUCUUCCACCUUCCUUCUCUUUCUCUUUCUCUCUCUCUCCUUUUUUCUUUUUGUUGUUGUUUUUCUCUAUUUUUUUCUCCUUUUACAUUAUUUUCCCCUCGAAAACGCCUUUUCGUAGGAGGGAUACCCCACACCACCAGGAAACCUGGCAGGUUUGCAAGGUACCCGGGCAAGUCGUGCGAGGGGUUUGCUGGUGGCAGCCAUGAGUUGUGGCUUUUGAAAUGCAUUUAUUUCCCUUUCUUACUGCACUACGGAAUCACUGCAGAACACUCAUUCUCAGCCGCUCUGACCCACUGGGGAUUAAAUGGGAGGGGGGGGGUGUCUAAACAAAAAAAAUCUCACGUCAAAGUCAGUGACUGUGAAGCCAAUUAGAAAUGGAGACUUUAAAAACAAAUAUAUAGGCACGUUUUCGUGGAGGUCACGCCGCUUCUGAAAUUAGCACUAAGAUGGAAAGAAACGGGAAUAAAAGUGGGCAAAGGCGAGGGGACCGAUUCCUACCUCUCUCAGAAAAGCAGAGACCAAACAGGAUAAACACACGGGGCGGGCUAAGAAAAAGACCACCAAGAAAACCCUCAAAAAAACAAACCUCCAAACUCACUACUUCAAGACUUAAAAACUAACCCUUUGAAUAGUGAAAAUGGCCCAUGAAACCGGAGGAAGCAUGUCGACAGUGUCCGUAAUAGCCGUGCACACGCGUUCGCGGACAUUGCCUAUGAAUGGCUGCGCGCUCGGACUCCGCUGUGGGGGCGGCUGCAGCAAGAAUUGACGCCCCCCCGCCUCCCGCCGUCCCUCUGUCCGUCCGCCGGAGGGUUCAUCCCCGCCAGCCUUGCUUGCGCAUCCCUCGGCCGUGGGGUCACAUCUGCUGUGCGUUGGGAAGUUGCGUGGCUGCUGUACCCCACAGGUAAUUUAACAAACAUAUAUGUGUUAAAAAAAAAAAAAAAAAAAGAAAGAAAGAAAAAAUAGAAAACAAAGGGUCUAUUAAGUCCUUUCCGUCGGAUAACAUACAUUUCUCUCUUUGCGUGAGGAACCAAACACUUUCCUAGGGGUAAAGCAACGCAGAAUUCACUUUUCCUUGCAUUAGUUCUGCUGCCACUCGCAAUGACCCCGAGCCGGAGUUUUUCCACGCGAGACCCUCCACGUACCUCGCAGGGAAAGACCCUUUUUAAAUCUGGCCCAGCCGCUUUUCGUGGUGACUGCGAGAGAGGCCACUCUCCGUGGGGUCACAUCCCCACGCCCGCCAAUUCCACUUCAUUUCGAGGGGUCCGAGGGAAGUUUGUCGAUACCCCUCCCCGCGGGAAUGAGCUCAUCGCCCUCUGCCCUGAGGAGCUCCCCCGCCUCACCUCGGGUUCAACCUACCAUUUAGCACCAUUUCCAAAUAUUUAUUCGAUUGCACAUAUAGAAAAGGCCUAAUUGGGCAGUGGGAGGAGGCGAACUAGUUAGCGAGGAGCUAAGAGGUGGGGGGGCCUUUUGUAUCUGUCGUGCCCUGAGCGAGUCCCCUGCCUUGACUGGGGUGGGAGGGUUGUUGCUCCCUCCCCCGUCAAAUCCCACCUACUCCCUGCUUUCCCCCCCGCCUUGAAGCGCUGUCGGGGUGAGCGUAGAAGGGCCGCGGAGCCCUGCACAGCAAGGGCGGGGUGUGGAGAGAUGGAGGGUGGAGGAAUGGAGGGAUGGAGGGAUCGAGAAUGGAGGGUGGAGGGGUCGAGGGAUCGAGGGAUCGAGGGAUCGAGGGAUCGAGGGAUAGAGGGAUAGAGGGAUGGAGGGAUGAAGGGAUGGAGGGGUAGAGGGUGGAGGGAUGGAAGGAUGGAGAAUGGGGAUGGAGGGAUGGAAGAUGGAGGGUGUAGGGAUGGAGGUUGGAGGGAUGGAGGGAGGGAUGGAGGGGUGGAGGGUGGAGGGAUGGAGGAAUGGAGGGUGGAGGGAUGGAGGGAUAGAGGGAUAGAGGGACAGAGGGAUAGAGGGAUAGAGGGAUUGAGUGUGGAGGGAUGGAGGGGUGGAGGGAUGGAAGAAUAAAAGAAUGGACGGAUGGAGGGAUGGAAGGAUACAAGAAUGGAGGGAUGGAAGAAUGGAAGGAUGGAGCAGGGGACCCUGCCCAACCCGCCCAGCAGGCCUUGCGGGAUCCGAGCCCUGAGGACAGUGCCCCAGUGCCCAGCAACUAAAAGGCAGGAAAAAUGGAUCUGGAGUUGCUUUCAAAUCACAAAUAGCGCUCGGUGACGUGAUGAUACAAUAUUUUUAGCCAUGGUAUGAGUGCCCGAGAGGCUGGAGGCUGGCAAAGGAAAACAUCCAUCGACACAACGCAGACUGGGGUAGUUAACACUUCAGAACACGAUACUGUCUUAUAAGCAAAGUUUAAUAAGGGAUUGAAACACUUCUUUCUAGGCACAUACAUGGAAAUAAGUGCAUCUUGUACACCCCCUCUACACCUGCAAGUUUCUUGGCAACCAGUAUGUUGUUAUUAUUAUUCAUAAAUAUGAAAAUUAAUUGAAAAAUACGUUUCUGACCUACGAAAAAGUUUAUCUGUUUUCAUCAGUGGGAUAUCACUGUAAUGAAUAUAUUUACAUCUCAUUGGAAGAAACCGAGACCUGUCUUUCUCUUCCGUAUCCCCAUUUGUUUGGUUUAAUUUUUUUCCUGUUCUGUUGGUUUUGUGUGUGGGUGGGUUUUUGUUGUUGUUGUUUUGCUGAGUUUUACAUUGUUGGUUUUGGCUUCUGUUUGUUUGUUUCUAAUGACUAACCCAGUUGAGUCCCUAGUCACCUAUCCCACCCAAAAGUGAUGCUGAAGAGGUGCUCAGAGUACUGAGCAUCUCCCUUGGCAGCCUGGAGGGGCUGCUGGACCCCCCUCUGCCCAAGGAAGGUGACCAGGGUGAGGAACAAAGCUGUCGCCUGCACAGCGUCCAUGUGAGAAAAGGGAGGACAUCUGUCUGUCUGUCUAUUUCCUAUCCUUGUGCCCCAAGGUCUGGAAUCAUCCAUCCCGCCCCCCCCCCCAGCACCUAUGAGUACAGGCCGCUUCUCCACCCUGAAAUGGGCUCUACCCCCAUAGAGGAUCUGCCCGCAAUGUUGAUUAUCCAGCUAUAAGUGCCUACUGUAUAGAGCUGCUCUCGCCUCGGAUCUGCUGCGCCUAGAAUAUUAAAAACCCCAAGCGGGUUGGAUUGAAGGAUCUUGUUAAUGCAAAAAAAAAAAAGGAGAGAGAGGGGGAGAGAGAGAAGGAGAGUAUGGAGGACAGCAAAUUAAAAGGAAAACAUUGCCUGUGACUCCACAAACUGAAAAGCCUGCCUCAUCCGAGCUUGUUUGGAGGGCACAGGAGGUGUCUGUGAGAGGGGGGGAAUGUUAUUUUUAAAGAUCCAGCUUUAUUAAUACGUUAAGAAAGAGCUCCCUUGGUAGUAUGUGUUCUUACAGCUCCGUCUCAGAUCCUAUAAAACAUUAAUGCACUGAAAGCUGUUACAGAGAUCUGCACCACCAGCUAGACGCAUUGUGAAGCCUUUACCUUCAAAGGAGCUCCAUUACAGAAACAAUUUUAAAUUUUCUUUGCCAAAAAAAAAAAAAGGCAUGAGCUGAAACCAAGCAGGGCUUUUGGCACAGGGCUUGGGCCCCUGAGGUGGGCAACCAUGGCAUACGUGGCCAUGGCACAUGAGCACACACGAAACGCGCUGGCUUGCCACCCAACGAGCAAGCUUCCAGUUGGAUUUCUAUAUUAAUGGGCUGGGAAUACCCUCCACACGCAGCGACUGGAGUCAGGAGAAACAGCGAGAGGGAUGUUUCGGCUGACAGCAAGCACAAGGCAUGCACAUCGGAGCACACGCCGGGGUCUGUGAGUCCUUGGGGUGGAAAAGAAGAGAAAAGAAGCAAAAAAAAAAAAAAAAAAAAAAGAAAAAGAAAA